This 76-nucleotide transfer RNA is filed under the name Escherichia coli. RNAcentral describes it as "tRNA-Met". It matches the Rfam family "tRNA". Rfam says of the family: Transfer RNA (tRNA) molecules are approximately 80 nucleotides in length. Their secondary structure includes four short double-helical elements and three loops (D, anti-codon, and T loops). Further hydrogen bonds mediate the characteristic L-shaped molecular structure. tRNAs have two regions of fundamental functional importance: the anti-codon, which is responsible for specific mRNA codon recognition, and the 3' end, to which the tRNAs corresponding amino acid is attached (by aminoacyl-tRNA synthetases). tRNAs cope with the degeneracy of the genetic code in two manners: having more than one tRNA (with a specific anti-codon) for a particular amino acid; and 'wobble' base-pairing, i.e. permitting non-standard base-pairing at the 3rd anti-codon position. Lineage: Bacteria; Pseudomonadati; Pseudomonadota; Gammaproteobacteria; Enterobacterales; Enterobacteriaceae. The record is from RNAcentral.
GGCCCUUUAGCUCAGUGGUUAGAGCAGGCGACUCAUAAUCGCUUGGUCGUUUGUUCAAACCCAACAGGGGCCACCA